Molecule: ribosomal RNA, 497 nt
Filed under: uncultured Actinomycetes bacterium
Lineage: Bacteria; Bacillati; Actinomycetota; Actinomycetes
Description: bacterial SSU rRNA
Rfam family: Bacterial small subunit ribosomal RNA
Source: RNAcentral
UAAGGAAUAUUGCGCAAUGGGCGAAAGCCUGACGCAGCAACGCCGCGUGCGGGAUGAAGGCCCUCGGGUUGUAAACCGCUUUCAGUAGGGAAGAAAAUGACGGUACCUACAGAAGGAGCCCCGGCCAACUACGUGCCAGCAGCCGCGGUAACACGUAGGGGGCGAGCGUUGUCCGGAUUUAUUGGGCGUAAAGAGCUCGUAGGCGGUUUCGUAAGUCGGAUGUGAAAACUCCAGGCUCAACUUGGAGACGCCAUUCGAUACUGCGAUGACUUGAGUCCGGUAGGGGAGUGUGGAAUUCCUGGUGUAGCGGUGAAAUGCGCAGAUAUCAGGAGGAACACCGGCGGCGAAGGCGGCACUCUGGGCCGGUACUGACGCUGAGGAGCGAAAGCGUGGGUAGCAAACAGGAUUAGAUACCCUGGUAGUCCACGCCGUAAACGGUGGGCACUAGGUGUGGGAUUCACUCAACGGAUUCCGUGCCGCAGCUAACGCAUUAAGUG